This 204-nucleotide long non-coding RNA is filed under the name Gossypium raimondii (Peruvian cotton). Its description in RNAcentral is "long non-coding RNA (GRAI_LNC006380)". The record is from RNAcentral. Lineage: Eukaryota; Viridiplantae; Streptophyta; Magnoliopsida; Malvales; Malvaceae.
GGGAGGGGUAGAAGAAAUGGUAGAAUGAAUGGAUGCUCGGAAGCAACAAGAAAUAAUAACAAAUAAAACUCACAAGACUUUUCACUUUUUUUUAUAUACUUCAAAUUUUUUUUGAAUUUUUUUUGAAUUUCCUCUUCUUCUUUUUUUUGAUUUUUUUUGUUCAAUUAAAAUAUGCUAAAAUACAAAGGGAAGAGAAAAUAAAAU